RNAcentral lists this ribosomal RNA (170 nucleotides) under uncultured bacterium. RNAcentral's name for it is "partial 16S ribosomal RNA". It matches the Rfam family "Bacterial small subunit ribosomal RNA", at positions 338 to 525 of the family's 1533-position model. The record is from RNAcentral.
CCUACGGGAGGCAGCAGUGGGGAAUAUUGGACAAUGGGCGCAAGCCUGAUCCAGCAAUGCCGCGUGAGUGAUGAAGGCCUUCGGGUUGUAAAGCUCUUUCGCACGCGACGAUGAUGACGGUAGCGUGAGAAGAAGCCCCGGCUAACUUCGUGCCAGCAGCCGCGGUAAUA